Molecule: ribosomal RNA, 465 nt
Filed under: uncultured bacterium
Lineage: Bacteria
Description: partial 16S ribosomal RNA
Rfam family: Bacterial small subunit ribosomal RNA
Source: RNAcentral
CCUACGGGUGGCAGCAGUGGGGAAUUUUGGACAAUGGGCGCAAGCCUGAUCCAGCUAUUCCGCGUGUGGGAUGACGGCCUUCGGGUUGUAAACCACUAUUGUAGAGAACGAAAAUUCUGUUGAUAAUACCGAUAGAUGAUGCCGGUACUCUACGAAUAAGCACCGGCUAACUACGUGCCAGCAGCAGCGGUAAUACGAAGGGUGCGAGCGUUAAUCGGAAUUACUGGGCGUAAAGGGUGUGCAGGCGGUGUGGCAAGAUGGAUGUGAAAGCCCCGGGCUUAACCUGGGAAAGCCAUACAUGACUGCAAGGCUAGAGUGCGUCAGAGGGGAGUGGAAUUCCGAGUGUAGCAGUGAAAUGCGUAGAUAUUUGGAAGAACACCGAUGGCGAAGGCAGCCCGCUGGGACACAACUGACGCUCAUACACGAAAGCAUGGGGAGCAAACAGGAUUAGAUACCCGUGUAGUC